GGCUCGUUGGUCUAGGGGUAUGAUUCUCGCUUCGGGUGCGAGGUCCCGGUUCAAAUCGGGACCGAGCCC
Molecule: transfer RNA, 69 nt
Filed under: Alosa alosa (allis shad)
Lineage: Eukaryota; Metazoa; Chordata; Actinopteri; Clupeiformes; Clupeidae
Description: tRNA-Pro
Source: RNAcentral